RNAcentral lists this ribosomal RNA (237 nucleotides) under uncultured bacterium. RNAcentral's name for it is "partial 16S ribosomal RNA". It matches the Rfam family "Bacterial small subunit ribosomal RNA", at positions 15 to 252 of the family's 1533-position model. The record is from RNAcentral.
GAUCCUGGCUCAGGACGAACGCUGGCGGCGUGCUUAACACAUGCAAGUCGAACGGUGAAGGAGAGCUUGCUCUCCGGAUCAGUGGCGAACGGGUGAGUAACACGUGAGCAACCUACCCUUGACUCUGGGAUAACAGUUGGAAACAGCUGCUAAUACCGGAUACGACCCCAGCAGGCAUCUGCCGGGGUGGAAAGCUCCGACGGUCAAGGAUGGGCUCGCGGCCUAUCAGCUAGUUGG